This 243-nucleotide long non-coding RNA is filed under the name Capsicum annuum. Its description in RNAcentral is "long non-coding RNA (CANN_LNC022212)". Lineage: Eukaryota; Viridiplantae; Streptophyta; Magnoliopsida; Solanales; Solanaceae. The record is from RNAcentral.
AGAAAGGCUGUUUCCGAUAGACCCUCAGCUCAAGACAAGGAAUAAUAGACAAAUACUUAAUAAAGCAUGGAACAAGAUAUCAAGACAAAAAUAUGCCACCCACAAGGGAUAAUAAACAAAGAACAGUAAACACAUUCGUAAUAAAGCAUACAACAAAGUGUCCUAGAAAGAAUAAUACAUCUACCAAGUAAUGUCCUACCCCAACGAAUCAAACUGGCACUAGCCUUCUAUCCUAAUCCGCGC